UGUCACUAUCCAUCCUCAUGUCCAAAGGUCCAUCCUUCUGCAGUGAAAAACCUCUUUCAGGUGUAUCAAAUUGCAUAGAAGAACAUCCAGCAUCCAAGAGAACUCCAUCUAGAGUUCCAGGCUCAACUCCUGAUGAGAUUAACAAAGCCUCUGACUGGCUAAACUGUCCGAGAAGAGCUUGAAUCUGUUUCGGGUAAGAUUCUGAAAGCUGCUGAGCUAUUUUAUA
This 226-nucleotide long non-coding RNA is filed under the name Gallus gallus (chicken). The record is from RNAcentral. Lineage: Eukaryota; Metazoa; Chordata; Aves; Galliformes; Phasianidae.